Molecule: transfer RNA, 70 nt
Filed under: Dipodomys ordii (Ord's kangaroo rat)
Lineage: Eukaryota; Metazoa; Chordata; Mammalia; Rodentia; Heteromyidae
Rfam family: tRNA
About the family: Transfer RNA (tRNA) molecules are approximately 80 nucleotides in length. Their secondary structure includes four short double-helical elements and three loops (D, anti-codon, and T loops).
Source: Rfam by way of RNAcentral
GGGAAUGUGGCUUAGUGGUAGAGUGCUUGCUUAGCAUGUAUGAAGCCCUGGGUUCAAUUCCUCAGUACCA